AUUGAACGCUGGCGGCAUGCCUUACACAUGCAAGUCGAACGGCAGCACGGGUGCUUGCACCUGGUGGCGAGUGGCGAACGGGUGAGUAAUACAUCGGAACGUACCUUAUCGUGGGGGAUAACGCAGCGAAAGUUGCGCUAAUACCGCAUACGCCCUGAGGGGGAAAGCGGGGGACCGUAAGGCCUCGCGCGAUUAGAGCGGCCGAUGUCUGAUUAGCUUGUUGGUGAGGUAAAAGCUCACCAAGGCGAUGAUCAGUAGCUGGUCUGAGAGGACGAACAGCCAGACUGGGACUGAGACACGGCCCAGACUCCUACGGGAGGCAGCAGUGGGGAAUUUUGGACAAUGGGGGCAACCCUGAUCCAGCAAUGCCGCGUGAGUGAAGAAGGCCUUCGGGUUGUAAGCUCUUUUGUCAGGGAAGAAACAGCAGCUCUAACACAGUCUGCGAAUGACGGUACCUGAAGAAUAAGCACCGGCUAACUACGUGCCAGCCGCCGCCGUAA
RNAcentral lists this ribosomal RNA (500 nucleotides) under uncultured bacterium. RNAcentral's name for it is "partial 16S ribosomal RNA". It matches the Rfam family "Bacterial small subunit ribosomal RNA", at positions 30 to 523 of the family's 1533-position model. The record is from RNAcentral.